RNAcentral lists this ribosomal RNA (447 nucleotides) under uncultured bacterium. Its description in RNAcentral is "partial 16S ribosomal RNA". It matches the Rfam family "Bacterial small subunit ribosomal RNA", at positions 29 to 523 of the family's 1533-position model. The record is from RNAcentral.
AGCGAACGCUGGCGGCAGGCUUAACACAUGCAAGUCGAACGCCCCGCAAGGGGAGUGGCAGACGGGUGAGUAACACGUGGGAACGUACCCUUUGGUUCGGAAUAACUUGGGGAAACUCAAGCUAAUACCGGAUAAGCCCUUAUGGGGAAAGGUUUACUGCCGAAGGAUCGGCCCGCGUCUGAUUAGCUAGUUGGUGAGGUAAUUGCUCACCAAGGCGACGAUCAGUAGCUGGUCUGAGAGGAUGAUCAGCCAAACUGGGACUGGGAAACGGCCCAGACUCCUACGGGAGGCAGCAGUGGGGAAUAUUGGACAAUGGGGGCAACCCUGAUCCAGCCAUGCCGCGUGAGUGAUGAAGGCCUUAGGGUUGUAAAGCUCUUUUACCCGGGACGAUAAUGACUGUACCGGGAGAAUAAGCCCCGGCUAACUUCGUGCCAGCAGCCGCCGUAA